This 616-nucleotide ribosomal RNA is filed under the name Lactococcus lactis. Its description in RNAcentral is "bacterial SSU rRNA". It matches the Rfam family "Bacterial small subunit ribosomal RNA", at positions 76 to 678 of the family's 1533-position model. The record is from RNAcentral. Lineage: Bacteria; Bacillati; Bacillota; Bacilli; Lactobacillales; Streptococcaceae.
GUACUUGUACCGACUGGAUGAGCAGCGAACGGGUGAGUAACGCGUGGGGAAUCUGCCUUUGAGCGGGGGACAACAUUUGGAAACGAAUGCUAAUACCGCAUAAAAACUUUAAACACAAGUUUUAAGUUUGAAAGAUGCAAUUGCAUCACUCAAAGAUGAUCCCGCGUUGUAUUAGCUAGUUGGUGAGGUAAAGGCUCACCAAGGCGAUGAUACAUAGCCGACCUGAGAGGGUGAUCGGCCACAUUGGGACUGAGACACGGCCCAAACUCCUACGGGAGGCAGCAGUAGGGAAUCUUCGGCAAUGGACGAAAGUCUGACCGAGCAACGCCGCGUGAGUGAAGAAGGUUUUCGGAUCGUAAAACUCUGUUGGUAGAGAAGAACGUUGGUGAGAGUGGAAAGCUCAUCAAGUGACGGUAACUACCCAGAAAGGGACGGCUAACUACGUGCCAGCAGCCGCGGUAAUACGUAGGUCCCGAGCGUUGUCCGGAUUUAUUGGGCGUAAAGCGAGCGCAGGUGGUUUAUUAAGUCUGGUGUAAAAGGCAGUGGCUCAACCAUUGUAUGCAUUGGAAACUGGUAGACUUGAGUGCAGGAGAGGAGAGUGGAAUUCCAUGGUUAG